GUAUCCGCGCAUACUCUGUACAUCACGGAUGAUUCAAACGUGGCUAUGUUCCCCGGUGCGGUCUCUGGUGUUUUCAGCGCAUUAGACCUUACACCCAGAGGUCACUAUGAAGUCCACGGAGAAGACAUGGAGUCAAUUCCAACAGCAGGUUCCAGCGGGCAGCGUUUUGCAUUUAUGCGAGCACCAGCUGUGGCAGCGUCUGCACCUUCACGUUCACAGCAGGCUACUUCAAGUUCCCCUAUGUCCUCCAAAACAUUUCAGAGGUAGGAUGAGUCUGUGUUCUUGAAUAUUAAAUUACAGAACAGGCAAAAUAAAAAGAAACAUAAGGUGCAUGGAUAGUUGAAUUGUUAAGAAUAGCAAAGCUGUUUUAGUACAAUUUGCCUAUAGCAAUCACUGAAUGGAUUUGUGGCCUGCUGUCUUUUACAAGAUAUGUAAAAUUAUUAUGUUUUGUUUUACAGAUCAGUGUACUUUGCAGAUGUAGUUGGUGGGAGGUUGAUUCCCAAUAGAAUGGUGGUUGUACGAUUCCUGGAGUCUGAGGCUACGCUUCAAGGGAUAGUAGGAAAAGUGCAAGAUGCCAUUGGUAAUUACAACCCAAUAAUUUUGACAGAUGCACAGGGCAAUGCAAUUCUGGAGUCGGAGGGCACAACAGGGUCACAGUACUGGAGACAAAAUGCACGAAAAAUUCUUGCUGUGCCUGAACAAGACUUUAAUUGCCUCCAGGGAACAAAGAGGAAGAAACUGAGCAGCCGUAAAGAUGAUGACAGUGCCAGUUUGGGAGAAGUGAGUGACAAAAUAGAAGAGUUGGUGUUGGCAUCUCAAAGUCUGCCAGCUGUCACAGCAGCAAUCAAAGAGCUCACUGAUCUUGCAGUUGCCCAGAAAGUCACAACCCCCAAGCUGCAGACACUCAAGGAGGGAUUUAGCUGCGUGGUUUGUAUGAACAUCAUUGAGGAUCCAGUGUUCUCACUGUGCUGCAGAAGCAUUAUUGGCUGCAAGACAUGUGUGGAACAGUGGCAAGAGACAUCACAGCACUGUGCAAAAUGCAGGGAGAGUAACAACGGAGUUCUACAAAUUACUGGUCUAACAGCUGCAUUUUCUGUAUUGAAAUCUUUUUUUGCAGAGGAGUAA
Molecule: long non-coding RNA, 1125 nt
Filed under: Oreochromis niloticus (Nile tilapia)
Lineage: Eukaryota; Metazoa; Chordata; Actinopteri; Cichliformes; Cichlidae
Description: lncRNA (ENSONIG00000026089.2)
Source: RNAcentral